GAUGAACGCUGGCGGCGUGCCUAAUACAUGCAAGUCGAGCGAACAGACGAGGAGCUUGCUCCUCUGGCGUUAGCGGCGGACGGGUGAGUAACACGUGGAUAACCUACCUAUAAUACUGGGAUAACUUCGGGAAACCGGAGCUAAUACCGGAUAAUAUAUUGAACCGCAUGGUUCAAUAGUGAAAGACGGUUUUGCUGUCACUUAUAGAUGGAUCCGCGCCGCAUUAGCUAGUUGGUAAGGUAACGGCUUACCAAGGCAACGAUGCGUAGCCGACCUGAGAGGGUGAUCGGCCACACUGGAACUGAGACACGGUCCAGACUCCUACGGGAGGCAGCAGUAGGGAAUCUUCCGCAAUGGGCGAAAGCUUGACGGAGCAACGCCGCGUGAGUGAUGAAGGUCUUCGGAUCGUAAAACUCUGUUAUUAGGGAAGAACAAAUGUGUAAGUAACUAUGCACGUCUUGACGGUACCUAAUCAGAAAGCCACGGCUAACUACGUG
Molecule: ribosomal RNA, 497 nt
Filed under: uncultured bacterium
Lineage: Bacteria
Description: partial 16S ribosomal RNA
Rfam family: Bacterial small subunit ribosomal RNA
Source: RNAcentral